UUAGUUGUAAAACUACUAACGAAUAAGGGGUGGGCAAGUUCUGGUGUCAGCCGCCGCGGUAAAACCAGCACCUCAAGUGGUCAGGAUGAUUAUUGGGCCUAAAGCAUCCGUAGCCUGUUUUGUAAGUCUUCGGUUAAAUCCAUCAACUCAAGUGAUGGGCCGCCGGAGAUACUGCAAAACUAGGGAAUGGGAGAGGUAGACGGUACUCGGUAGGAAGGGGUAAAAUCCUUUGAUCUAUUGAUGACCACCUGUGGCGAAGGCGGUCUACCAGAACAUGUUCGACGGUGAGGGAUGAAAGCUGGGGGAGCAAACCGGAUUAGAUACCCGGGUAGUCCCAGCUGUAAACGAUGCAGACUCGGUGAUGCGUUGGCUUGUUGCUAGCGCAGUGCCGCAGGGAAGCCGUUAAGUUUGCCGCCUGGGAAGUACGUACGCAAGUAUGAAACUUAAAGGAAUUGGCGGGGGAGCACCACAAGGGGUGAAGCCUGCGGUUCAAUUGGAGUCAACGCCUGAAACCUUACCCGGAGAGACAGCAGAAUGAAGGUCAAGCUGAGACUUUAC
This 558-nucleotide ribosomal RNA is filed under the name uncultured marine group I thaumarchaeote. RNAcentral's name for it is "bacterial SSU rRNA". It matches the Rfam family "Archaeal small subunit ribosomal RNA", at positions 413 to 971 of the family's 1478-position model. The record is from RNAcentral. Lineage: Archaea; Thermoproteati; Nitrososphaerota.